Molecule: ribosomal RNA, 588 nt
Filed under: uncultured bacterium
Lineage: Bacteria
Description: bacterial SSU rRNA
Rfam family: Bacterial small subunit ribosomal RNA
Source: RNAcentral
CCUACGGGAGGCAGCAGUGGGGAAUCUUGCACAAUGGAGGAAACUCUGAUGCAGCGAUGCCGCGUGAGUGAAGAAGGCCUUUGGGUUGUAAAGCUCUUUUGUAGGGGAAGAUAAUGACUGUACCCUAAGAAUAAGGUCCGGCUAACUUCGUGCCAGCAGCCGCGGUAAUACGAAGGGACCUAGCGUAGUUCGGAAUUACUGGGCGUAAAGCGCGCGUAGGCCGUUGAGUUAGUUAAUUGUGAAAUCCCAAAGCUUAACUUUGGAACUGCAAUUAAAACUGCUCGACUAGAGUUUGAUAGAGGAAAGCGGAAUACAUAGUGUAGAGGUGAAAUUCGUAGAUAUUAUGUAGAACACCAGUUGCGAAGGCGGCUUUCUGGAUCAACACUGACGCUGAGGCGCGAAAGUAUGGGUAGCAAAGAGGAUUAGAUACCCUCGUAGUCCAUACCAUAAACGAUGAUUGCUAGAUGUUGGAAAUUUAUUUUCAGUAUCGCAGCUAACGCAUUAAGCAAUCCGCCUGGGGAGUACGACCGCAAGGUUAAACUCAAAUGAAUUGACGGNUUGAGAGUUGCGAGCGACGACGAGGGAGAG